This 244-nucleotide small RNA is filed under the name Staphylococcus aureus KLT6. Its description in RNAcentral is "SprA". The stretch from base 19 to 119 matches the Rfam family "Fst antitoxin sRNA". Lineage: Bacteria; Bacillati; Bacillota; Bacilli; Caryophanales; Staphylococcaceae. The record is from RNAcentral.
CACCAAUCCCCACACUAUUGCAGUAGUGUGGGGAUUUUUUCGAUGCUGGCUUAUAAAGUCGCCUAUUAAUUAUUUGUUGCGUUUACUAAGCCAAUAAGUAUAAUACGCAACAGCACAGCCACUGAUGACUGGUGCUAUGAUGUGAACGAAAAUGAUUAGCAAAGUAAUGCACCUCCUCUCUUCGUCGAUUGACGCCUGAGAGAUAGGCGACUCUAUUAUUAUACCAUCUGUGAAUAUACAAGCA